This 253-nucleotide ribosomal RNA is filed under the name uncultured bacterium. RNAcentral's name for it is "partial 16S ribosomal RNA". It matches the Rfam family "Bacterial small subunit ribosomal RNA", at positions 524 to 776 of the family's 1533-position model. The record is from RNAcentral.
UACGAAGGGUGCAAGCGUUGUUCGGAUUUAUUGGGCGUAAAGCGCGCGCAGGUGGAAGAGUGUGUCAGAUGUGAAAUCUCGGAGCUUAACUCCGAACGUGCGUCUGAAACUGCUUUUCUAGAGUACUGGAGGGGGAAGGGGAAUUUCACGUGUAGGGGUAAAAUCCGUAGAGAUGUGAAGGAACACCGGAGGCGAAGGCGCCUUCCUGGCCAGUCACUGACACUGAGGCGCGAAAGCGUGGGGAUCAAACAGG